Molecule: non-coding RNA, 929 nt
Organism: Meleagris gallopavo (turkey)
Lineage: Eukaryota; Metazoa; Chordata; Aves; Galliformes; Phasianidae
Source: RefSeq, a predicted model, not a curated record
CUGAUUCUGAAACAAAAGAGAUAAGAAACAGAUAAUUCUCAGGAUGACUGUUGCUAGUCAGUAGCACUGAGGAUCUUUUGCUUUCUUGUAGCAGGGGGACUAUAGGGCAUGGGCUGCUGGGUGGGGGUAGAGCCAGGACAGAUGGUCUGGAUUGGCCAAGGGGAUAUUCCAUACCUUGUGACAUCAUGUGAAAGGCCACAAACCUGUGGACUGUUGGCUAAGGGAGGUGGCUGCUACUCAGAGAUUAGCUGGGUAUUACUGGGAGUCAGCUGGCAGUUGAAGUGAAAUCUAAUUCCAUGAACUUUCGCAAAAAAUUUCAAGAAGCCUCAGAUUUAUUAUUGGACAGACAAGGAAGCAGAGUGCUCAAAGACUGACAGACUGAAAGUGAUGAAAACACGAAAGGCAGCCAGUUCAGGAGGUUAGCAUCAGGCGUGUGCUUUCCUUUACCUGGCCAUGGAGCCUGUGACCUACUAAUGCAGACUGACACAGAAGGUGCCUUCAGCUUGCAGACAGACUAUAAGCCUGAAAGAUAAGACUUCUCCCAAAGUUAUGGAAUGAGCCUUAACAAUGAGCAUCUUCUCACUAAAGGAAUGAAAACAAUGCCAUCACAGUGAAUACUACAUAUGAAAAGGAAGGAGUAUAUAUUUCAUCCCAGAAGUUAGCACUGCUGUCAUUCUGUAGGCUAUAGGAAGGCACUGUAAGCCACGGAUCUGUCUUGUGACUUCAUGCCCUUGUAUUUGGCAUUUAGGUUACAAGCCUGUAUGUCCAUGUCCAUUAAUGGGGUAAAAUGGCUUAUAUCUUUGCUCAAGUGAAAAAUCAAGCAUAUAAUAUUUUUACCUCUAUCUAAGUAUUCUAGAUAAGGCCUCUGGCAAAAAUUAAAUGUUAAUUUACUUUCACAUAGCCAGUUUCCAUAUAACAUACAGGAGAGG